This 215-nucleotide long non-coding RNA is filed under the name Elaeis guineensis (African oil palm). Its description in RNAcentral is "long non-coding RNA (EGUI_LNC068635)". Lineage: Eukaryota; Viridiplantae; Streptophyta; Magnoliopsida; Arecales; Arecaceae. The record is from RNAcentral.
CCAUCCAAAAGCCCAAUCCUCACUGAUCCUUCCUGGGUCCAGAAGUCCACGACAUGGGGAAGGUGCACCAAUAAUUGGUAUCAGAGCACGGAUUGUGUGGUGAAGAAAAUAGAUGCCAGAAGUUGAAUAUCUUCAAAGGCUGAAAUUUCAACAAAGACCCUGUCAAGGUAUUUCUCAAAUCCCUUGGAGUUUUGGUUGUGUUUUGGUUUGGAUCC